CUCUGAGUUAGAGUCGGUAAAGGAAAACAAGCCAUACAUAUUGCAGCAGAGCGGCUUUAACACAAGGAGCUGGCUACCCAGCUGUGGGAGGGCUAGAAAGCAAAUGGGAACGCUGAGUAACCUAGCAGUAGAGAUUUCAGGGAGCAGUUACCUUGCCUAGGGCUGAGAAACUAAACGAGAAGAUUAGGAUUUCCAGAAGCCACAAGCAUUGAGGAGAGAUCCUGUGGACCACUGUCCAAGUACGGCUGCAGCUCUGAGGGGCCCAAGGAGCUGGUUAUGGGAUCAUUGGGAAAAGUUGGAGUCUGCGAUCAACUGCCCCUACCGAGAGGACCCUGAUGAGAACAGCAGCAUGCAGAAAGGAGCAAGCCUGCUCUGUCCUCCUACCUUCCAGUCGCCCUCUUGGUCCCCCUUUUGGCUGUACCUAACAGUUGGAAAAAGGAGAACAUGGUUUGCAGGGCUCUGGCAUCACUUAGUAGAGGAUAGAAGAGUGAGUGUGGAGCAGGGACAGUCGCUUAAUAAAGGGCAAGGGGCUGACUCACAAGACCUGCCCAACUCAGCCAGGGCUCUUCUGCCAGGGGCCAGAAAGGCCAUAGGGCCCUGACUUGCACUGCCACUGCCAGCUGUGACUCUAGAACUUUGCAAAGCACCUUUCCACUUACUUAUAAUAACUGGUAGUAAGUGACGGCCAUGUCUUCCUUAGAAUGUAAAAUACUACCAAGGUAUCCGGGUUGCCGUGAGCAGGGUGAAGGACAGAGGACAGAAGGCCUUGGUUCUCGACAUUGGCACUGGCACGGGACUCUUGUCAAUGAUGGCGGUCACAGCAGGUGCCGACUUCUGCUAUGCCAUCGAGGAAAAUUGUGAGGCCGUGCCCCACAGAGCCACCGUCUAUGCACAGCUGGUGGAGUCCAGGAGGAUGUGGUCGUGGAACAAGCUAUUUCCCAUCCACGUGCAGACCAGCCUCGGAGAGCAGGUCAUCGUCCCUCCCAUGGACCUGGAGAGCUGCCCUGGCGCACCCUCUGUCUGUGACAUUCAGCUGAACCAGGUGUCACCAGCCGACUUUACAGUCCUCAGCGAUGUGCUGCCCAUGUUCAGCAUAGACUUCAGCAAGCAAGUCAGUAGCUCAGCAGCCUGCCAUAGCAGGCGGUUUGAACCUCUGACAUCUGGCCGAGCUCAGGUGGUUCUCUCGUGGUGGGACAUUGAAAUGGACCCUGAGGGGAAGAUCAAGUGCACCAUGGCCCCCUUCUGGGCACACUCAGACCCAGAGGAGAUGCAGUGGCGGGACCACUGGAUGCAGUGUGUGUACUUCCUGCCACAAGAGGAGCCUGUGAUGCAGGGCUCAGCGCUCUAUCUGGUAGCCCACCACGAUGACUACUGCGUAUGGUACAGCCUGCAGAGGACCAGCCCUGAAAAGAAUGAGAGAGUCCGCCAGAUGCGCCCCGUGUGUGACUGCCAGGCUCACCUGCUCUGGAACCGGCCUCGGUUUGGAGAGAUCAAUGACCAGGACAGAACUGAUCGAUACGUCCAGGCUCUGAGGACCGUCUCUCUCCUCCUGGGCGAGCCGUUCUUCACUACCAGCCUGCUGCCGUGGCACAACCUCUACUUCUGGUACGUGCGGACUGCUGUGGACCAGCACCUGGGGCCAGGUGCCAUGGUGAUGCCCCAGGCAGCCUCGCUGCACGCUGUGGUUGUGGAGUUCAGGGACCUGUGGCGGAUCCGGAGCCCCUGUGGUGACUGCGAAGGCUUCGACGUGCACAUCAUGGACGACAUGAUUAAGCGUGCCCUGGACUUCAGGGAGAGCAGGGAAGCUGAGCCCCACCCGCUGUGGGAGUACCCAUGCCGCAGCCUCUCUGAGCCCUGGCAGAUCCUGACCUUUGACUUCCGGCAGCCGGUGCCCCUGCAGCCCCUGUGUGCCGAGGGCACCGUGGAGCUCAGAAGGCCCGGGCAGAGCCACGCAGCGGUGCUAUGGAUGGAGUACCACCUGAUCCCGGAGUGCACGCUCAGCACUGGCCUCCUGGAGCCUGCAGACCCCGAGGGGGGCUGCUGCUGGAACCCCCACUGCAAGCAGGCCGUCUACUUCUUCAGCCCUGCCCCAGAUCCCAGAGCACUGCUGGGUGGCCCGCGGACUGUCAGCUAUGCGGUGGAGUUUCACCCCGACACAGGCGACAUCGUCAUGGAGUUCAGGCAUGCAGAUACCCCAGACUGACCACUCUUGAGCAAUAAAGUGGCCUGAGGGCUGGGGUUCUGAGUGGCUCAUGGCUUUCUAGGGGGGAAGGCUGAAGGCCCUCCUCUCCUCUCUGGGAGCUGCUCGGCCUCAGGGAUGGGAAAGACUGCGCCGUGUUGCAUCUUGUUGCAUCUUUGCACUGCUGGCCUCUGGCUCCAGCUGUGGCAGGAAGCAUGAGAGGGUGACUGAAUUUGGAGCCCUGGAGGGGCUGGGAAGACCCCCCCUGCUUGUGCUUCUGAGGUGCUGAGAAUGCUCCAACACAGAGACAUCUCUCCCCAGCUGGGAAGGGAGUGGAAGCACGGGGAGCUUGUGGAGCUGGCUGGUGGGGUUGUCCACGCCGCCCUUGGCGAGCAGUCCCCGUGGCGGGAGCCUGUCCUGUCUGUCCCACUCUCGAGGAUCUCCGGGUCCCUGCUCUUCUGGCUUCUGCUAGGAGGGUGGAGAUUUCUGGCCCUCUAGUGGGUGGAGAUGCUGAGUUGUGGCUGGGUCUCUGGGGCUUGAAGACCCUGGCUGGGCCCGGGCUGAGAGGCCUGGGUUCUGGCCCUUUCACCUGACAGGUAACUUCAAGCCACAGGUGUCUGGCCUCAGUGCUGCACCAGCUGGUGGCCUGCCAGGACCUGAGACUGGACACAAGGCAGCUGUCCCAGAGCAGUUCCUGAGAUGCAGGCCCAGGAAAGCGGCUGUCAGGGGAGCUGGGAGGCAGCCCUGUUCCCUGCACCUCCCUCAGAUUGGAAAGCCCCUCCUGCAGGUGGGGUAUGGCAGGGAGCAGCCCCUGCCCAGCGCCGCUUCACCAGGAAGGUCAGUAGGUGCCGUGGCCUUGCUUCUCUCACACACUAACCCCCCUUUGGUUAUGUCCCAGCUCUCAGAGGUAACAGCAGACACCACGUGAGAGAACCCAGUGGCCUCUGGCUCGCAGCUUAGGAGGUGAGGCUUGUGCCAGGCCAGCCGAGCUGCCUGUAUGAGCAGAGUUCUGGUGUCCUCGGAUUCAGGGCAGACUUGGGCAGCGCCUGUCCUGCAGUUGGGGGCAGGAACUCCCUCCCCUGCCCCCAGGCGUGCCCCUGAGGCCUGGCCACAGCUUGUCGCUGAAAUAAGUGGAGAACACCAGCCUUGAGCCUCACAGUUUUAUUUUCUCCUCGUUAUCCAUCCUUCCUUUCAGCACCAGUAAGGAAAAAGAACACCUCUCUUUGCAAAAUAUUUUAUCAGGUGUAAAGACUUGUUUUUCUUCUAGGGAAGAACCGUCUGGAUAUAUAUUUGAUAAUGUUUUUACCAAAACCAUAGGUGUGCUUACCAUAGAAAACCCCUAAUGUCCCAUGAAGAUACAAUACAGAAAAAAAUACAGAAAUU
This 3562-nucleotide small RNA is filed under the name Pan troglodytes (chimpanzee). RNAcentral's name for it is "retained intron". Lineage: Eukaryota; Metazoa; Chordata; Mammalia; Primates; Hominidae. The record is from RNAcentral.